Molecule: ribosomal RNA, 373 nt
Filed under: uncultured organism
Description: bacterial SSU rRNA
Rfam family: Bacterial small subunit ribosomal RNA
Source: RNAcentral
CAGAGGGUGCAAGCGUUGUUCGGAAUUAUUGGGCGUAAAGCGCGUGUAGGCGGCUUUGCAAGUCGGGUGUGAAAGCCCUCAGCUCAACUGAGGAAGUGCGCCCGAAACUGCAGAGCUUGAGUACCGGAGAGGAUGGCGGAAUUCCCCAAGUAGAGGUGAAAUUCGUAGAUAUGGGGAGGAACACCGGUGGCGAAGGCGGCCAUCUGGACGGAUACUGACGCUGAGACGCGAAAGCGUGGGUAGCAAACAGGAUUAGAUACCCUGGUAGUCCACGCCGUAAACGAUGAGAACUAGGUGUCGUGGGUGUUGACCCCUGCGGUGCCGUAGCUAACGCAUUAAGUUCUCCGCCUGGGAAGUACGGCCGCAAGGCUAA